Molecule: RNA transcript, 12365 nt
Organism: Prinia subflava (tawny-flanked prinia)
Lineage: Eukaryota; Metazoa; Chordata; Aves; Passeriformes; Cisticolidae
Gene name: vesicle-associated membrane protein 2-like
Exons: 6
Source: RefSeq, a predicted model, not a curated record
GCCCCUGCUGGCGCCGUGAGCCCGCUCCGGGGGCAGCCCCGGCGCUGCGCCCCGGGGGCGGCGGGGCCGCGGCCGCUCCGCUCCGCCGCUCCCGGCAGGAGGGUGUGGAGGGGGCACCUCCGAGCCUCGCCCCUGCCUCCUACCCUGUGAUGCGAGGCGCAGGCAUGCUCAGUAGCCGGUGCCUACCCCUCCUCUCCCAACAACAGUGCCUACAACAGUAGGAGCCGGCUGGCAGCAGGCGCGGAGCCGAAAGCCAUCUUUGCUGGAGAGGGAGGCAGCGCUCGCCCCUCGCCAUGUCUGUUCCAGCUUCUGCCCAGGGUCCCAGCAGUGCUGCAGGGGCUGCAGGGCCCACUCCUGCCACCAAUGUGUCCAGCAACAAGCGGCUGCAGCAGACACAGGCCCAGGUGGACGAGGUGGUGGACAUCAUGAGAAUGAACGUGGACAAGGUGCUGGAAAGGGACCAGAAGUUGUCAGAGCUCGAUAACCGCGCAGACGCCUUGCAAGCAGGUGCCUCACAGUUUGAGACCAGUGCAGCCAAACUGAAGAGGAAAUACUGGUGGAAAAACUGCAAGAUGAUGAUCAUCCUUGGUGUAGUAUGCGCAGUCAUUCUCAUUAUAAUUAUAAUUUAUUUCUCCACUUGAAAAAGCAAAGAAGGAAGACUUGGCACAACUUUGUUCAUAUCAAUCGACGAUAUCAGUGUUCCUUUGUUGAACUCCGCUUUUUAAUUCCCAGUGUCUUGGGAUUUUUGCUUGUAAUAACCCAUGAGCAUUCAGUGUGGUGUAUUUUGGAAUUCUGUUGUUUCCACAAGAAACUGUACCAGCUAAAUACUGCCAAGUAGUUCCAUACACUGUCUAAUCACUGUGUCUUAAAAUGUGUACGCACUGACCUUCAGAAACUGUAGUAUAUGAAAAGCAUCCUAAAACAUCUCAGAAUCAGAGAAUGCAGCUGUGGGGAAGCUCCUGUUUAAAGGAACACUGUCAGGUGGAUUGGACCCAAAUCUAAAGUUGCACCAAACAUUAGGACCAAAAUUCUCAAUCUGAGCUCCUAAAGUUGGAUGGCAAAAUCCAUUGUCAAAUACUUCUGUUACUCCCAUUGAAGAGAGUGAUACCUAUAAGUAUUCAUGUAUACUAUACUUCAAUUUAGCCAACCAAACACAGGCUUUUUUGAGAUUAGAUGUAGAAUCCAAGUCUAAAAACAUUGUCUGCAGAAAAUAAAUAAGAGUGGUUUUUCAUCUAUUAUGGAUUUAAUUUUUUUCCUUAUGGAAAGCACCUCAUGGUGCUCUGAACAACCAAGAUGGCCUCAAUAUGAAAGCCAGAAAGAAAAAAAAAAAAAGAACUGUAUUACAGCCCAAAAGCAUUAGCUAGCACAGUCCUGAAAAAGCCAAGUGAAAUGCAGAAAUGGUAAUACAAGCAUCACAAGUGACUGGGGUGCAGUCUCCUGCUGACAGCUCGAGGCACCGUUGGCCAGGUUCCAUGGGAGCUCUCGAAUGCCCAAUCCCCAACAAUUAGGCCCUGACUCAAAGCCCGUGAGCAGCCUGGUGCUGCCUGUGGCUGGCCAGCUCUGCUGGAGGAAGCUGCCUCUGCAGCCCUUUGCAGAAAUGGUCCCCACUGCCAGGAUCACUCAAACAUCAGGAAGAGGGUAAGGGGGAACAGCAGGGAGAGGCUGAGAAAGGGAAGGGUGCCCAGCAAAGCUUUCCUGGAGAAGGAACAGAAACACUGUUCAAAGUGGUGGUGUUAAUAGGCUUUAAAAUAUUUAUUUUAAUUUGUGCAUGUGGAUAGUUCAUGAACUACUGUGUCAUCCUCGUAAAGUGCUCAGCUGAGAUAUCUAUUAUACUCAAUUAAUUGAAGCUAACAGUUGACAUGAUUAACAUAAUUAAAAGAAAUUAAAAGAACAUAGUUAAAAGAAAUUAUAUAUUGUGGCUUGAGAGAAAGUUCUUGUACGCUCUUGUGAAUUUCUUGUUUCUUUCUUUAUAAAACAGGGAAUAGUUUAAUCAUCCUUAACCAAACUAAAAAUGAAUUAAUCAAAUUUUGAGCCAGGAAAUUCAGAAAAGGGUCUUUUUAGGAUAGCUCCUUCAGAAUUUCUAAAAAGAAUUCAUAGAAUUGAAAAAAUAUUUAUUUGAUGGGUUGGGAUUUUGUGUCUGCAAUUUAAUUAGGGAAUAGAAACAGUGAUAAUAGUAGUGUAAAUAUUCCCACUGUGGAGUAUCUCUCUUAACAUAGCUUUAGAUUAAAAAAAUUGAGAGCCUGACCAGUUUGUUGCUGUGAAUCUAUAUGUAAAUUGUGCUGAAGUAGAAUUUUGCAAAGAGAAUAAGUAAUGAUCAAUUGAAAGGUUCCAGUUGCAUUUUUCCCUAAAUAUUUAUCACUUAAUAGUCACGUGUACUGCUUCACAUCAUUAAGUCAUAAGUGGCCCCAGUUUAAUGAAGCUGAAUAUUCAAAAUUACUAAUGUGAUACUGGACUCCCUGUAUGCUCUGAUCACUUCAGUCCUUCAGCUGGAUGAGAACACAAACAAUUCCAAAAUCCUCAUGGACUGGACAAAAAUCAUAGCAGUGAUGAAAGGCCUGACUCCAUGAGUUGACACAGCUGAGGCCUGUAUAUGAAAUGAGCUUUCACUGAUAGAAGAAUGAGCCAUCCAACUUCAGGAGCCUUUUAAACUGCUAAGACAACUGGAUAGCUGAAAUGAAGGAAUCCUCUGCUAGGAGUGAGCCCUGCCAGCCACACCUGUGCUGAAUGUGGUGUCCUCACAGGGCUCCUCCACUGAGUACACUCACCACAUGAAGAUAGCUUUUGCUGGAGGUGGUGCAAUCAGGAAGGUGAAAUGCUGAUCAUGAGCCUUAAUGCAGAUGUUCCUUCUCCUCUGGGAGGCUGAACUGAUACUCAGCUGAUACGACUGCAAAUACACAUUAAAGAGUUUGAAUCCUCUAGCUACAAACACACAAAGCUGCCAAAUGAAACUGCAGUGGGAGUGCUACAAGGAUGCAAAGCUCACAUCCUCCCAGCUAAUGUAGCUCAAGCAAUUCACUUAAUAAUUGAAGUGGGACCUUUAGGUGAGAGUGGAGAAUAAAACUUCUCUUUGUGGAAUGUGGAUCCAUUCUCUCUCAGAACUGUAACUAAUGGGGUGACAGCUAAAUAUAAGUGAGAAUUUUCAAGGAGAAGUUAAGAAACCUGCCUUCUAGUGGGUUUUAGAAUGUUUGUGAAGAGACUAUUUCCUCCUGUGUGGUAAUAAAAUACGGUAAAUUAACGUGUUUAACUUUUCAAAGUUGUUUGCCCACAGUGUGCUCGUGAAUGCUCAAUGUUUGCUACUACUUGUGCUAUGAUGGUUGGUUGUAAUUGGUGAGAUAAGCCACGUAACCUUUCUAAUUCAGCCCAGGAAGCAUGAACAAGUGUGUCUUUCCCUGAUGCACAGACCCAGAGCUCAGCUGCUCUUGCAGAAGGUUAAACUUUCCGCAAGGAGAAUAUGGUAAUACAGGAGUGUUCAGGGUCAUAGAUUGUGCAACAGCAUCACAUAUGUGCAGGCUGGUGCAGAGCACAAUCUAUAUAAACACAGCUGGAGAUCUUAUUUGUGUUGAAGCCAGGAUUGAUUGCUUUCCACUCACUGCUUCUACAUUUGAAAUGUCCAUGCAGUUACAAAUGCCUGCCUGUAAAUUUUCCAUGAAAAAUUAAGUCAUUCUCACUCAGUCACCACCGAUGAAAAUUUCAGCUCCUGCUCUGCACCACUGACUACUGCCUCAGCUCUUCCCUUGAGCUGGUAAAGCAUCACAAAGGGCUUCCUUUCAGUGAUUCCCUGGCAAACCCUCAUUGCUUUCUGACUGCUACCUUGGGGACCAAGCUGAAGCCUUUUCUGGCUGCAAGCAAUGUUUUUGAUAGCUUUAUCCAGAAUCAGACAUUGUUUGAGACCUGCAUAUUCCAUCCUUACAGGAAGCUCCUCCUCUGCUUUCUGGAACACUUUUGUACAUCCCAGAGGAUGUGCAGCAGGAGAUGCCCUUCACACACAGCACAGCUGAAAGGAAGGGGUUAAAGCUGGUCAGCUGCUGCCUGGCUUCUCAAUGAUCUUGUCAGUGAUCCUACAUCAGCUUCUGAGCUUGAACAAGUGUUGCCUGCACCCACUGUCAACAGGUUACUGAGGUCCUGCUUGGGCGUCACACUUUCUCUCAAAUUUAGCUCACUUGCAGUAACACAGAUGUGGCUUUAAACCCAAAACCAGUGUUGCACAGAACUUGGCAGGAAAACUUAGUGUGGAAGUCCUCAUGAGGUACUUGACCUGAUUUUCACUUGACAGGAUUACAUAACAGCACAGUCAAUCCGACAGAGUCAACCCUAAUCCAAUACUAUUAGAAGGAGGAUGGGAGAAUCUGAUAAAGAUUCUGAGUGUAACUUAGGGUCUGUAAGACAGGGAGUGAUUUAGAAGUGUAGUCAGUUGGAUUUCUAAAGCCGGCACUUUGAUUCAGUUGGAACCUGCAUGAUGUUAGUUCCAGGAACAGUUUAGGCAAGAAAAAUAUUUGGCUUUUUUCUUUUUAUAUAGUGAUAUAUAAACACUCAGUGAUGGAAGAGCAGGACAUUAUUGACUGUGCAAGGAAUGAAUUAGAACAGCCUCAAUCUGCUAUACUUUUGUCUGAGUAGCAAGACCUUUUAAACUUCUACUGUUUGUGUCACUGCUCCUCUGACAGGGCUUCGCCCAGCUUUAAUUUUAUGAGCAGCUGGACUACUUCUUGUCUGAAUACAAUGAAUUUUAGCUCUUAAGAGCAAGUUCUUGACUUGACAUUGUCAUUUAACCUAGGGAGCACUUGGGUAUGAUUCCAGGAUUUACAUCUCAACCCUGCUUCUCCUGCUCUUUAAACAGGGAAGAGGGCUGAAGCAACAGUCAUAUAAGGCACUGGGCUCCCUCCCAAUGUACACAGUGAGUAUUAGGGAAAGGCCUCAAAGCCUCUGAUCGGAAUUUGCAUCCUGACCUGAACUUUAAACCUGUAACAGAUCAUAACCUUUGGGCCCUCUGUCUCAUCAGAAGACUGAGAUGCUCUUCCAGCCAAUUCUUCCUCACCUGAUUUAGGUCCCUGUUGCUAGACAAGACACAUUUGAGCCAGAGAAAGCACAAGAACCCUCAAAUUAGCUUCUUUAAAAGCAAAAUUAAAAGGCUGAAGAAAGUUUGAAAAAAAAAUAAUUGUAGCUAAAAAAAUUUUUGGCUGAAGGUCUCUCAAAUGGUAACAUUACUGUCAGGAGAGAUCCUAGAUUGGGAUAUAUGAAACAACCAAACCAGAACCUCACACCAGUUGUUCUUUCUCCAUCUGGUCUACUUCAGAAAUACUUCAGGAAAAGAUUUUGUUUUCCUCUUCAGUUAACUCCCUUCCUCAGUUGAUUAAUCUAUGUCUCAAUUGAUAUGCUCAGUAGUUUUUCUUCUCCAUUGGGAAGACUCUCUGCCUUUAAACACAUGCAUAAAAAGGGAUCUGAGCCACCCAAGGAGUUUACCUUCCUUCCUGGUGCACUGACAUUUAAAAGCUACAUCUUAGAAUAAAGCAGAAAAACUGUGGCAGUCUGGUUACAUGCAGUUUUGGUGGAGUAAACACUUGAUUAUUCAACAAUGAGUCACUCCUGCAGUAACCUCAUUCUGUCAUGAGUGUAUCACAUCUGCUAACUCUCCACAGCAAAAACCAGAACCUGAACCACUUCAAAACGUGAAUUCAGCCUCGUGGUUCGCACAUAACACUCUAUUCAACCAAAGCAGCCAUGUGCUAUAAGUGUAAAAGGGCAAAGUAGUUGUUCUCAAAGAGAAAAUAUCAUAGAGAACAACAAAGACAAUUAUGGCAAAAGCCUUCUCCAUUCUUCAGCUCUUCUCACAAUGUCUGGCUUGUCCAUUAUUCUUCAAGUCUCUUUCAGUUCUCUUAGAAAGCCGUUGUGGUUUUGGAGCACAGUGUAUUUGGAACACAGAAUACUGGGGCUGCUCUGCCCUCUGGGUUGACUCCUUGCCCUCUGCCACACUGUCACUCUCAGCCAGAGCUCAGGUGGGCCUUGGCUGAAGCAGAACCUCCUCCCCACAACAUCCACCUCUCCCCAAACCUCCACUCUCUGGUCGACAACACCUGAGGCAGAACACGGCUCCUGGGUCUUCAUUUGGUUCAAAAUUUUGUAUGUGAUACAAAAGAAGGCUAAACAACAGCAUUUUUGCUACACUACCCUAAAUUGUAACACUGGAAUUUUAAUUAAAUUUAUUUACCAUUCUUGUAACAGUAAUUUUGUUAAUUUUGUUGGAAAGAGAGGAAACAGCAAAUAAGGAUAUUGUGGUAAUCACAAUGUCGUAAAUUGGGAAAUGGUCCUAGUGAAAUAUUGCUAACAUUCAGUCAACUACUUUUUAUCAGUGGCUUUACGUAAGAGCACCUUUUUAUAUUAAAAUUAAGCAGUGCUUGUCUAUUAAAUUCAAAUACUUAAAGUGAACUAUGAGAGAUGGUAGAGUUUUUUCUGGACAAUGCAGGAGACAGGUGCAGGAAGGAUGGUGCAGCAUUUUUGCAGAGAGCACCAUUUGGGGUACUGUAGCCCAAGACAUGGGGCAGCUGGCAGCUGCAGCAGGGGUCAAGGACUGCAGUCAAAUCAGGAUUUCAGAGUGUCUGGGGCACUAAAGAUCCAGCCUGAAUGUCCAUUUUAUCCUAGAGCACUUUGGGCUCAGUAUUGGAAUCUUUUUGACACAGCAUGAUUAUUUUGGUUACUCUUGAUCCACCCCAGUACCUGUGCUUGUCCACCUGUAAAUGGUCUAAGGUGAAAAUAAAAAAUCCCUUUGUUGAAUCCAUUACAUUCCUGUCAUAUAUAUGUGAACACAUGUUGGUGGUCUGAGCUUUUUGUGAGGAAAAGUUUAAAAGAAUUAAAUCAGUUUCUCCCCCUGAUACAUUACAGGUUUGUUUAAAGAAAACUAAAUAAUGGCAGCUGCAAUUAUUUUCUUUGUAAGACCAAGGAUUGAGAUAGUGCAUAUAAUGGACCUACAAAUUCAUAGAUGCACAUGUGUAUUUUUUCCAGAAGUUUAGCUAUUAAUAUUUAUGUUAUUGAUCUGAAAGUUUGAUAAAAUUCCAUUAUUAAUGAAAGUAGUCUUGGCUGGAACCAAAAAUUCAGUGAUCAGUGUGACUACCAUGCCACUAGCAAGCUACUAAAUAAUGCAAGUUCAGCCUUUCAUGAAAUCCAAAGGGAAAAAAUAUUCUGAUUAAAAGUAGAAAUCUCUGGUAAAGUCUAUGGGUAUAAAGUUUAACCAUUACUUAUUUACAUAUUAUUUAAGCAAUUAGCAGCUAUAAAAACAGUAAAAUAAUUAGUUUCCAAAGCUUAACUAUAGAUGAAAGAAAUUUUUUUCUCAUUAGAAAAGCUAAUUUCAAUCUAUGUUCCAUCUACUCUUUCCCCAGACAAUAAAAUGCUAAUAUUGCUAUGACACACAGGUCUGCACAAUGCUACAUAUAGCCCACUACUUGCCAUGAUAAACAUCAUUAUUUUUGUAAAUGAAACAUCCUCUCUCCCCCAGCCACACACGUGGUAAAAUAUUACUCACACUAGGUUUAUCAGCAUCACUGAAAGAUCAGAAAUUAGCACCUCCUACUCAAGAGCAGGACUUAAAAACAUGAUUUGUCUGUUGCAAAAAUACAAAAAUUCUGAGGGGGAAGCACUAACUGUGUAGAGGUUAAAGUUUUAUUUGACAACUUCUAUUCUUUUUUCCUUCCCCUUUCUAAAGGAAGUGCUUGUAUAUGUAGACAGGCAUUUGCCAUUUGGGUGAGAUGUUCUCCUUCCAAGUACAAAAGAGAUGAAACAGCCACUAUGUACUGUGAGUAACCUUCAGUUUGUUUUGCAGCAUAAAAAGUCCUCUAACUGGCAAUAUAUGAACUCUUAUUAUAAACUUGUUAUGCUCAUUACAGGAAAUGAGUUCAUAGCCAGUUAAUUAGUAUUUUCCUUAAUGACUUAUGCUUGAGUCUUAACACAGAAGAGCAGCCUCUGGAGGUGUUUGUGUAAUCAGUUCAGCACUGUAGGUCUCACACUCACCAGCCUGGAGUGAGGAGCAAGGCAUGCUCUGGUCUGGAAGGGUCUUCAACAUGUGCCUAAGCAUAAGGGAAUUUCUGGUUUCUGUUUAACACAAAAAAAACCCCUUGCUCUUGCUCAAUCCAGGCCUGGCAUGGAAUCUGUGCCAUGUUCUAAUUUGGAAGAGGAAAAACCUUUCCUUUGAAUUAUAAAAAAAUUAGAGUGAAAAGGGACCACCGGGGCUGCCUCUCCCAUGACCCACUUGAAGCAGGGCUCCUGUGAGGUUGGAGCAGGUUGCAUGGGUUUUGUCUUGAUAAGGUUUGAAAAUCUCCAAGGCCCAUGGCUUCACAACAAAUUCUGUCAUUGGGUAUGUUCAAUGCCCUACCAAGGCUGAUAAAAGUGCAGGAAACACCUUUGUAAGUGCAUCUGGUUUAUGAUGUUCCUUUUUUGUUCUGUUGUGCACUGAUCUGAUUACAGUCAAAUUCAGAUCUAGUGGAAUUAAGUGCAACCCCCUUUUUUCAAAGAACUUCCACUGACAUCAAGAAAUUUUCUUUUCUUCCUGUUGCCAUUAGUCUAAGGUUAUGGUCAUGCUGAGGACAUCAGCAUUCUCUCCCCUGUGUGUGUGUAUGUGAAGCCUGCUUCUCUGACACUGAAACUGGAAUAGGCAUGGAAUCAGAUUCAGGACAUCUGCUGAAGUCUAGCUAUGUAUUUUCUGAGGUCAGUGACAAAAUCUUGAGUGGCUGUUAAGUUACUAGACUGGCACCAAAGAAAAAAGAGGAUUUACUGAGAUUACUCUUUCUCCUCACAAAUAUCCUUGGCAAUGCCAUACCUGUUUCAUGUGCUGAUGGAAUGGCAGUGCAAAAUAAAAACCUUUCUUCUACCUCUUUCCUUGUAAUUCUUCAAGCUUUACUUCCUGUAAAGGGAAUAAUCAGAAAUAAGUUUUCAGUUGCCCUUUUAAAAGCCCAGACUCCAGACCAAAUCUCUAAUUGCAUUCUUUUAAAGGCCACACAGUGGUGUUAAGCUCUGUAGUAACACACUCAGAAAGGACCUGAAAGUCUGUGCUGAGAACAGCAUCUCUCACCUCACAGGCUCAGCUGUGAUUUGUGCCUCUACAGAAAACAAUCCAUUUGCACCUUAUUGGAAUGAUCUGGAGAGGAAAAAAUAAUGUUGUGGAGACCAGGACAUUUCUUAAAGUGCUUUACCUGGAGGCCUGUUCUGUGCUCUUGCAAGCAUCAGAAAACUCUGCAUCAACAUGGAAAAGUACCUGUUGCUCCCCUCAUGGAACAUCUCCAAAGUCAUGAGCCAAUGUGAAGCAUGUUGCCUGCAGCUGUACAAAGGCUCCCUGUGUCAUGUGCUGCAUGGGAAUGACCUCACCAGCUGAAUGGAGCUACUGAACCAGUUAUGGAUGCAGUCUGACAGUCCCAGAACAAACAUGACUCAUUUAAGAACAUUCCCUACCUUCCUUUUUAAUAACUGGUUUCUCCAAAGUCAGUAAAGUAGAACUGAAGGGAGAACAAAGAGUUCUUCAGUGAACUCUGCAGUGUUCUCACACACCCCUUGCUGUGCUGCAGGAGCACGUUUGAAACAAGAGCUCCACAACAAUUCCAUCUUCUCUGGUGGUACCCCAGCUCUCACACUGUAAUCAACUCCAGCAGCAGAUAUGGACAUGCCCAUACUAACAACAGCAAUACCAUUACUAAGGAAUUAAUAGUUCUGUGUCCCAGAUUUCAAACCAAAAAGCUUUAAAAAGACUAAAUGUUGGUGUGCAGCAGAGGCCAUCAUCCAUGAUUAUGAUAAUGAUGGUGUUGAGAUGAGAAAAGGGUUCUGAAAAUAAGAUUUGUGUCUAGUUUGACCAUCAAAACUUGGUUGUGUAACUUCACAUACAAGACUGUUCAACUUCCAUACUCAGUUUUCUUAACAAUGAGCUAAAAAAUUUAUUUCUUGGUAUGCUUUUGCUUUUUCACCUUGUAGUAAAUCCAUUAUCACUUUGAUUCUACUUUUUGACAAAAUAGACAAAAGAAAUCACAAUAUAUCAGGGUAAACUUUGAAAAUUGGAGCUUUAUUUGUAAAAUAUUUUUGGUAUUAUGAAAUCUUAACUCCACCAAUGCCAUUGACAACAAAGAAAAAAAUCUUGAUUAUAUAAGGGAACUGAGGCUUUGUUUCAGAUGAAGCUAUUAAAGUAUGCAAAUAGUAAUGUAAUUUUUAAAUGUGGAAUACACAAGUCCUCAUACUAGGUCUUCUCCUAUUGUUUCACAUUGAUUGCAGUGGACUGAUACUACAGGAUUGCCGUGGCAUCCCAAAUUGGAAACAAUGGAAUACAUUCACUUCAGUAGCAGUGGCUGUGCUCGGACAGGCUCAGUGCAAUUUUCAAGUAUAUUUUGUUAAUAGUCUCCCUAUACAAUUUAUUGUACUGUAAUCCAAUGUGUGUCUGGGAAAAGCUUUAUUCAAAUAGAUUUGGCUUCUGUAACUGACAUGUGACAUUAACUCGGUGUGAACUGCAAGAUUCUCCAUCUCACGGUUUGAGGUGGGGUGGAAGGGCCUCAUGAUGCGGAAAGUGCCACGUCUCUGGUCUUGGGCACUGAUCUGUAUUUCUGAGGGACCUCAGUUCAAGUUCUAAGGAUCAAGUUUGUAGUGAGGUAAUAGCUUAUAGAUAGGGACAUAAUGUGCUUUAAUUGCAUUUUGGAACUUGAGGAGAUGUUUUCUCAGUAGUAAGGCAGCGUAUGACAAGAAAAGUUGAUUCAUUGGUUACUAGGUUCCAGGAUGUUUUCUGAAGGGCCUUGAAGAGUAGGACAGCAUCCUCUCUGACUAGGCCAGAACAUAGCUGCAGUGGGUUAGCCCAGUCUUUAAAUAUGAGCUGUUUAGUCAAAACACCUGUUGCUUUUAACCCUCCCCUUAAUGUGAGUUAGGUAACUCUUGAGAGGGAAUCCCAGAUAGGGCUACAGGGAGAUCAAUACAGUGAAGGUGUGAAGUCUUUCUGCAGAGGAAAAUUCUCCUCUUUCUAGCAGUCCCAUGAGUGGAGGAACACAUAAGGAAACACUUCAGCAGACUUUAAGGCACCACGAGUUAGGGGGGCGGCAGCUGCAAGGAGUGCAGUGGAGCCCAGCCCGCCCCCAAUGCUGUGUGCUCCCCAGAAGCAAGGCUCUGGCAGGACAGGCUCCACGAUUCAGCACUCCUGGUUCCUUGGGUGGGCUUUCCAUCCACUGAGCUCUGCGCCUGUCCAGGGAAUGCCACUACUUCAAAGCUGGCUUGAAUGUGCCUUCACAGGCUGCCACUACAAUGCAGAGGUACUCCAAGGCUGCCCCAAGUCUUCCUUGCACUGUAUUCACUUAAAAAAGACCAAGAAUGCUAUCACUGUACAAGGGGAAUCAGUCUCCUAACUAAGCACUGCUUCCUCCAGCCUUAAAUGAAAGCAGCAAAAGCCACCAGCGUUGUUACCAACAGCUAACAGGUAAUGCACACUAGGAGAGCAGGGCUGGGGAAACAAAAUGAUAAUUGUAAAUGACCCAUAUUGAUAAAAGGAAUGAAAGGUGGUUGGAUAUGUUUCCUAGACCCACUAGAAAGAAAGACAAUGGUCACUUAAUUCUCUAUCCAGACGCAAGGAAACCAUGAGCCAUACAGCCUUUUUAUAAAUGCCUAUGAAAGGCAUAUCUCACAGCUCAGCUUUUUUGGCAAGGUAAGAUUUCUUUCAUCUUUCUGUUUUGUUCUAGUGACUCCAUUUUUGUCAAAUAUAGUUUAUUUGCUUUCCUGCAGCACAGCCUUUCCUCUAAGGAACAACAAUUAGCUAAUAUAACUUAGGAUUAUUAAUUCCUGCUUUCUUUUUAUGUCCUUUAACCAUUCCCCUUUAAGAAAUGUAAAGGUUUGCUUUGUUUUGGGUUUGUUGGGUUUUUUUUCUAUUCCCUGGCUUAAACUACUUGUUUAAUUUUUUUUUAUUGUGAAGUUACACAACAGAAGCAUUGGAUUCCAGAGUUCCUCUACUGCUAAUGAAGUAUGACAUGUUACAAGUGGAUGGAAUAUGUCUCAUUAUAGUAAUGAGUACUAUAUUUUAAUGGAUUUCUGUGUAAAAAAGGCUCAUGUGAUAAUUUUGAUUUUGUCUGCUUGUUUGCUUCUACCCAUGCACACGGUAAUUUUAAAUUUAUUGGCUACUGACAGAUAGGAAGAAAUCCCAAGGAUAUUCCAGCCACAUAAUUUUCAAGAAAUUUUACACCUGGGAAAUGAGGUAGUUGAGGAUUCUUUCCCUAGAGCUGCAUUUGGUAAAGGACCAUACUUAAGCUCUUACCAAUUAAAUACCAGAUAAUCCACAAAGAUGGGACAGAUUUCUGCCCUCUUUGGUUUAGUUACUCUCCUGAGCAAAUUGCCAAAGCUCUUUAUAUCAAAGGGAUUUAUCCCAACACACU